Molecule: long non-coding RNA, 247 nt
Organism: Papaver somniferum (opium poppy)
Lineage: Eukaryota; Viridiplantae; Streptophyta; Magnoliopsida; Ranunculales; Papaveraceae
Exons: 2
Source: RefSeq, a predicted model, not a curated record
ACACCAGACCGAUAGAAAGAGAGAAAGAGACAGAGAGACAGAGAGAGUUCGUGAGACGGAGAAGAACAGUGAAGAACCAGAUCGAGAAGAGAAGAUAGAUGAGACGGAGAAGACACUAAUCGCGUUUGUGACACAGUGAAGAACAGGGGAUGAAUAUGUUGUAUGCACAAGCUGCUUGAAGAGAAUAUUUAGGAGAAAAGUUACCAGAUUGAAAGGCGAAGUACCAAAAGGAUUACCAGAUUGGAAA